AGCGUACACGGUGGAUGCCCUGGCAGUCAGAGGCGAUGAAGGACGUGCUAAUCUGCGAUAAGCGUCGGUAAGGUGAUAUGAACCGUUAUAACCGGCGAUUUCCGAAUGGGGAAACCCAGUGUGAUUCGUCACACUAUCAUUAACUGAAUCCAUAGGUUAAUGAGGCGAACCGGGGGAACUGAAACAUCUAAGUACCCCGAGGAAAAGAAAUCAACCGAGAUUCCCCCAGUAGCGGCGAGCGAACGGGGAGGAGCCCAGAGCCUGAAUCAGUGUGUGUGUUAGUGGAAGCGUCUGGAAAGGCGUGCGAUACAGGGUGACAGCCCCGUACACAAAAAUGCACAUGCUGUGAGCUCGAUGAGUAGGGCGGGACACGUGGUAUCCUGUCUGAAUAUGGGGGGACCAUCCUCCAAGGCUAAAUACUCCUGACUGACCGAUAGUGAACCAGUACCGUGAGGGAAAGGCGAAAAGAACCCCGGCGAGGGGAGUGAAAAAGAACCUGAAACCGUGUACGUACAAGCAGUGGGAGCCUCUUUAUGGGGUGACUGCGUACCUUUUGUAUAAUGGGUCAGCGACUUAUAUUCUGUAGCAAGGUUAACCGAAUAGGGGAGCCGAAGGGAAACCGAGUCUUAACUGGGCGUUAAGUUGCAGGGUAUAGACCCGAAACCCGGUGAUCUAGCCAUGGGCAGGUUGAAGGUUGGGUAACACUAACUGGAGGACCGAACCGACUAAUGUUGAAAAAUUAGCGGAUGACUUGUGGCUGGGGGUGAAAGGCCAAUCAAACCGGGAGAUAGCUGGUUCUCCCCGAAAGCUAUUUAGGUAGCGCCUCGUGAAUUCAUCUCCGGGGGUAGAGCACUGUUUCGGCAAGGGGGUCAUCCCGACUUACCAACCCGAUGCAAACUGCGAAUACCGGAGAAUGUUAUCACGGGAGACACACGGCGGGUGCUAACGUCCGUCGUGAAGAGGGAAACAACCCAGACCGCCAGCUAAGGUCCCAAAGUCAUGGUUAAGUGGGAAACGAUGUGGGAAGGCCCAGACAGCCAGGAUGUUGGCUUAGAAGCAGCCAUCAUUUAAAGAAAGCGUAAUAGCUCACUGGUCGAGUCGGCCUGCGCGGAAGAUGUAACGGGGCUAAACCAUGCACCGAAGCUGCGGCAGCGACACUAUGUGUUGUUGGGUAGGGGAGCGUUCUGUAAGCCGUUGAAGGUGGCCUGUGAGGGUUGCUGGAGGUAUCAGAAGUGCGAAUGCUGACAUAAGUAACGAUAAAGCGGGUGAAAAGCCCGCUCGCCGGAAGACCAAGGGUUCCUGUCCAACGUUAAUCGGGGCAGGGUGAGUCGACCCCUAAGGCGAGGCCGAAAGGCGUAGUCGAUGGGAAACAGGUUAAUAUUCCUGUACUUGGUGUUACUGCGAAGGGGGGACGGAGAAGGCUAUGUUGGCCGGGCGACGGUUGUCCCGGUUUAAGCGUGUAGGCUGAUUUUCCAGGCAAAUCCGGAGAAUCAAGGCUGAGGCGUGAUGACGAGGCACUACGGUGCUGAAGCAACAAAUGCCCUGCUUCCAGGAAAAGCCUCUAAGCAUCAGGUAACAUCAAAUCGUACCCCAAACCGACACAGGUGGUCAGGUAGAGAAUACCAAGGCGCUUGAGAGAACUCGGGUGAAGGAACUAGGCAAAAUGGUGCCGUAACUUCGGGAGAAGGCACGCUGAUAUGUAGGUGAAGCGACUUGCUCGUGGAGCUGAAAUCAGUCGAAGAUACCAGCUGGCUGCAACUGUUUAUUAAAAACACAGCACUGUGCAAACACGAAAGUGGACGUAUACGGUGUGACGCCUGCCCGGUGCCGGAAGGUUAAUUGAUGGGGUCAGCCGCAAGGCGAAGCUCUUGAUCGAAGCCCCGGUAAACGGCGGCCGUAACUAUAACGGUCCUAAGGUAGCGAAAUUCCUUGUCGGGUAAGUUCCGACCUGCACGAAUGGCGUAAUGAUGGCCAGGCUGUCUCCACCCGAGACUCAGUGAAAUUGAACUCGCUGUGAAGAUGCAGUGUACCCGCGGCAAGACGGAAAGACCCCGUGAACCUUUACUAUAGCUUGACACUGAACAUUGAGCCUUGAUGUGUAGGAUAGGUGGGAGGCUUUGAAGUGUGGACGCCAGUCUGCAUGGAGCCGACCUUGAAAUACCACCCUUUAAUGUUUGAUGUUCUAACGUGGACCCGUGAUCCGGGUUGCGGACAGUGUCUGGUGGGUAGUUUGACUGGGGCGGUCUCCUCCUAAAGAGUAACGGAGGAGCACGAAGGUUGGCUAAUCCUGGUCGGACAUCAGGAGGUUAGUGCAAUGGCAUAAGCCAGCUUGACUGCGAGCGUGACGGCGCGAGCAGGUGCGAAAGCAGGUCAUAGUGAUCCGGUGGUUCUGAAUGGAAGGGCCAUCGCUCAACGGAUAAAAGGUACUCCGGGGAUAACAGGCUGAUACCGCCCAAGAGUUCAUAUCGACGGCGGUGUUUGGCACCUCGAUGUCGGCUCAUCACAUCCUGGGGCUGAAGUAGGUCCCAAGGGUAUGGCUGUUCGCCAUUUAAAGUGGUACGCGAGCUGGGUUUAGAACGUCGUGAGACAGUUCGGUCCCUAUCUGCCGUGGGCGCUGGAGAACUGAGGGGGGCUGCUCCUAGUACGAGAGGACCGGAGUGGACGCAUCACUGGUGUUCGGGUUGUCAUGCCAAUGGCACUGCCCGGUAGCUAAAUGCGGAAGAGAUAAGUGCUGAAAGCAUCUAAGCACGAAACUUGCCCCGAGAUGAGUUCU
Molecule: ribosomal RNA, 2773 nt
Filed under: Escherichia sp. MOD1-EC5110
Lineage: Bacteria; Pseudomonadati; Pseudomonadota; Gammaproteobacteria; Enterobacterales; Enterobacteriaceae
Description: bacterial LSU rRNA
Rfam family: Bacterial large subunit ribosomal RNA
Source: RNAcentral